Molecule: ribosomal RNA, 406 nt
Filed under: uncultured bacterium
Lineage: Bacteria
Description: bacterial SSU rRNA
Rfam family: Bacterial small subunit ribosomal RNA
Source: RNAcentral
AGCAAGUCCCCCGGUAGGGUGGCAAACGGGUGAGUAAUACAUGGGUGAUCUACCUUAGGGAUGGGGAUAUCCUUCCGAAAGGAGGGGCAAUACCGAAUAUUGUCCGGAGCCGUGAAGGGUUCCGGGGAAAGGGAGGCCUCUGAUACAAGCUUUCGCCUUAAGAUCGAGCCCAUGGCCCAUCAGCUAGUUGGUAGGGUAAAGGCCUACCAAGGCUACGACGGGUCGCUGGUCUGAGAGGACGACCAGCCACACUGGCACUGAGAUACGGGCCAGACUCCUACGGGAGGCAGCAGUGAGGAAUAUUGCGCAAUGGGGGAAACCCUGACGCAGCAACGCCGCGUGUGGGAAGAAGGCCUUCGGGUCGUAAACCACUUUUGCACGGGACGAAAAAGGGAUAUCGAACAAA